GGUCACUGUGUAUAUACAAAAGGACGUGGCAUAGCUAUUUACCACACUUGGGCUGUCUAAAACCGAAGUGACAGAGAAGAUGUGUGGAAUCUUUGCCUACCUGAACUACCUUGUGCCGGCCAAGAGAGAGGAGAUCCUGAGGAUCCUGAUCAAGGGACUUCAGAGAUUGGAAUACAGGGGAUAUGACUCAGCAGGUGUUGCUAUUGAUAGCAGCAACAAUGCUGAAGAUUCUGUUUCUGACAUUGCCAUCAUCAAGAAACGUGGCAAGGUGAAGGCACUGGAAGAAGAAAUU
Molecule: long non-coding RNA, 292 nt
Organism: Lingula anatina
Lineage: Eukaryota; Metazoa; Brachiopoda; Lingulata; Lingulida; Lingulidae
Source: RefSeq, a predicted model, not a curated record